RNAcentral lists this ribosomal RNA (737 nucleotides) under Leuconostoc lactis. RNAcentral describes it as "bacterial SSU rRNA". It matches the Rfam family "Bacterial small subunit ribosomal RNA", at positions 614 to 1338 of the family's 1533-position model. Lineage: Bacteria; Bacillati; Bacillota; Bacilli; Lactobacillales; Lactobacillaceae. The record is from RNAcentral.
UCGGAAAGGGCAUUGGAAACUGGUUAAACUUGAGUGUUGUAGAGGGUAAGUGGAACUCCAUGUGUAGCGGUGGAAUGCGUAGAUAUAUGGAAGAACACCAGUGGCGAAGGCGGCUUACUGGGACAACAACUGACGUUGAGGGCUCGAAAGUGUGGGUAGCAAAACAGGGAUUAGAUAACCCUGGUAGUCCCACACCGUAAACGAUGAAAUACUAGGUGUUAGGAGGGUUUCCGCCUCUUAGUGCCGAAGCUAACGCAUUAAGUAUUCCGCCUGGGGAGUACGACCGCAAGGUUGAAACUCAAAAGGAAUUGACGGGGACCCGCACAAAGCGGUGGAGCAUGUGGUUUAAUUCGAAGCAACGCGAAGAACCUUACCAGGUCUUGACAUCCUUUGAAGCUUCUAGAGAUAGAAGUGUUCUCUUCGGAGACAAAGUGACAGGUGGUGCAUGGUCGUCGUCAGCUCGUGUCGUGAGAUGUUGGGUUAAGUCCCGCAACGAGCGCAACCCUUAUUGUUAGUUGCCAGCAUUCAGUUGGGCACUCUAGCGAGACUGCCGGUGACAAACCGGAGGAAGGCGGGGACGACGUCAGAUCAUCAUGCCCCUUAUGACCUGGGCUACACACGUGCUACAAUGGCGUAUACAACGAGUUGCCAACCCGCGAGGGUGAGCUAAUCUCUUAAAGUACGUCUCAGUUCGGACUGCAGUCUGCAACUCGACUGCACGAAGUCGGAAUCGCUAG